AGAGUUUGAUCAUGGCUCAGGACGAACGCUGGCGGCGUGCUUAACACAUGCAAGUCGAACGGUGAAGCCCUUCGGGGUGGAUCAGUGGCGAACGGGUGAGUAACACGUGGGAAAUCUGCCCUGCACUCUGGGACAAGCCUUGGAAACGAGGUCUAAUACCGGAUAUGACCUUCCUCUGCAUGGGGGUUGGUGGAAAGCUCCGGCGGUGCAGGAUGAUCCCGCGGCCUAUCAGCUUGUUGGUGGGGUAAUGGCCUACCAAGGCGACGACGGGUAGCCGGCCUGAGAGGGCGACCGGCCACACUGGGACUGAGACACGGCCCAGACUCCUACGGGAGGCAGCAGUGGGGAAUAUUGCACAAUGGGCGAAAGCCUGAUGCAGCGACGCCGCGUGAGGGAUGACGGCCUUCGGGUUGUAAACCUCUUUCAGCAGGGAAGAAGCGCAAGUGACGGUACCUGCAGAAGAAGCACCGGCUAACUACGUGCCAGCAGCCGCGGUA
RNAcentral lists this ribosomal RNA (497 nucleotides) under uncultured Actinomycetes bacterium. RNAcentral describes it as "bacterial SSU rRNA". It matches the Rfam family "Bacterial small subunit ribosomal RNA", at positions 8 to 522 of the family's 1533-position model. Lineage: Bacteria; Bacillati; Actinomycetota; Actinomycetes. The record is from RNAcentral.